RNAcentral lists this long non-coding RNA (2046 nucleotides) under Ficedula albicollis (Collared flycatcher). RNAcentral's name for it is "lncRNA (ENSFALG00000027440.1)". The record is from RNAcentral. Lineage: Eukaryota; Metazoa; Chordata; Aves; Passeriformes; Muscicapidae.
CUUUAAAUGACUUUUCUAGAGUUCUUGUUUCUUACCUAUCUUCUUUUUCACUACUCAGCUAAAUACAAAUUUUAAAUCCCUCACAAAAAUGUGCACAUCUGUAAUGACUGGGAAUUUUAUAACAUUUUUAGCCCUCAAUACGAUCAAGCAGCUUUACAGAAAAUAUCCUGUGUUCUUGAAUAAGCAAAAUGCAACACAUAUUAAUAAAUUUUCCUGAAUUUACAAUGCUUUGUGUUCUGUAUUUCUGAAAAAUGGCAUGGAUCUGGAAUAUUAGAUGUGGAAAUGGUUUAUGCACAAAGUGUAUAUGUGUAGGUGUUUGGGCCCAGGGCCAGGUGAGAGUUGGCUCAAUCAAUAUGUCUGUGUGUUUUCCUCUGCUUCAUUUUUUCACUGUAAGGUAUUCAUUCCCUAGCAUACAGCUUUGAUGGAAGUGUUCAAAAGUCAAGCGCUGUAAUUCAUAAUAGAGACUUUUCAAAAAGAAAGGAAAAAGAGGGGGGGAAAGGGAAAGAAAAACGAGGCAAGGCAAGACAGUGGAGAUAAAAGUUACAUAUUAUUUCAUAAGGGAUGUAUGGAGCUGCUGAAAAAUCUAAGAAAUUGUGGGAAAGUUUUUGAUUUUGUUUUGUUGAUGUUACAAAGAAGGCUAAAUCUGGAAGUGUAUUUCUUUACUUUUACCUAAAAUUCCAAGGAUGUUCUACUUCAGCUUCAGUCCAAUUUUUAUACCUCAGGGUAAUUUGUGCCUCCUGACUUCUUUCUUUCUUUCUUCAAAAACUAGUGGAGAGGCAGCUGGGCAUGCUGUCGUGCCAGGAGUCUCAGAAGGUGCAGCAGAUGACUCGUGGUCCCAAAUGCACAUCCUCAGAAGUGAAGUCUAUCCCAGCCUAGGUUUAGGGGAUGGAGAAGGAAGCAGAGCAGUACCCAGCAAACCACACAGCACAAGGGAUCUGCAGGAACUUUACAUGAAGUCGAACUUCACUUCCCUUGUCAGCCUGCUCUGAGUGACUCACUGAAGUCUCGCCUGGAUCUCCUGAGAGCUGUUUCUCAUCCGAGCCUCUGAGUGUGCCAAACUCUACACUGGCAGUGUGAUGUACACAAAGAUUUCUUCAAGAUAAUUGUCUUCAUUCAAGGAGUAAUUUGAGAUUUAUAUCCUGAUGUCUAGAAAUAAAAGGCCACAAAGUCUAUGGUCUGAACACUGCACUCAUGCCCCUGGAUGAACCUAGGGGGAUUGCUGUCUCCAGUGAGACUCCCACCAGGCAGUCAGUAAGUAUCAUGAAGUGGCUUUUCCAUCCAAAGAAGGGCUGACGUGAAGGUACAUCAAAGAAAACAAUGAAUGCCUCCUGCUCUGACCUACAUAUUUCAUUCUGAGAGACUCAACUACAUUUGCUAGAACACUUGGAACAACUGUUAUCUUUUAGAAAUGAAAAGUCAUUUCUCCAGGGAAUAGCAUGGGGUGGAGUAGGGGGGGCCAUGCAGUGGCUUGAUAGGGUGCAGAACAUUUAAACUCGGCUGUAUUGAUUGUAGUGUAUGAUUGAAUGUAAUCAUUACUGUGUCUAUAUUUUUCUGUUUCAAUGAAACCAUCAGGCAGUGAGUCACGCUGUGCAUGUAACCCGGAGGAAAGUGCAAAGAGGCUGCUGAGGAGUAGCAGUACAAAAAUACCAUUGGCAUCUUUUCCCUAGGAGAGCAGGGCUCUGGACAAUUUCCACAGUCUAUUGCUGUUUUUCUUUUACAUGCAUUCUCUGCUAAAAUGUGUAAUAGAAUUGAGGACACGGUUGUGAGUAAAGAGUCUUCUUGCACAUGCUGUUCCAUAAUUAAAGAACAGUUAUAAUAGAAAUCCUGCUUUUUUUUCUGCUUUUUUUUUUUUUUUUUUUUUUUUUUUUUUUUUUUUUUUUUUUUUUUUUUUUUUUUUUUUUUUUUUUUUUUUUUUUUUUUUUUUUUUUUUUUUUUUUUUGGGGGGGGGGGGGGGGGGGGGGGGGGGGGGGGGGGGGGGGGGGGGGGGGGGGGGGGGGGGGGGGGGGGGGGGGGGGGGGGGGGGGGGGGGGGGGGGGGGGGGGGGGG